GUCUAUGGCCAUUCCACCCUGAAUGCACCUGAUCCUGUCUGAUCUCAGAAGCUAAGCAGGGUUGGGCCUGAUUAGUACUUGGAUGGGAGAAAUAUCAUUGAUUUUUGAAUGUUGAUCUUGUAUCCU
RNAcentral lists this ribosomal RNA (126 nucleotides) under Homo sapiens (human). The record is from RNAcentral. Lineage: Eukaryota; Metazoa; Chordata; Mammalia; Primates; Hominidae.